Molecule: non-coding RNA, 115 nt
Organism: Acanthosepion pharaonis
Lineage: Eukaryota; Metazoa; Mollusca; Cephalopoda; Sepiida; Sepiidae
Source: the annotation of a GenBank genome assembly
ACAGCCAUAUCUUGUUAAAGAAAAACAGGUUCUUGUACGAUCGCAGAAGUUAAGCAACGUCGAGCCUGGUUACUACCUAGAUGGGUGACUGCGUGGGAAUAUCAGGUGCUGUAAG